RNAcentral lists this ribosomal RNA (1504 nucleotides) under Salmonella enterica. RNAcentral's name for it is "partial 16S ribosomal RNA". It matches the Rfam family "Bacterial small subunit ribosomal RNA". Lineage: Bacteria; Pseudomonadati; Pseudomonadota; Gammaproteobacteria; Enterobacterales; Enterobacteriaceae. RNAcentral also lists the same sequence under 1 other name. The record is from RNAcentral.
UAACACAUGCAAGUCGAACGGUAACAGGAAGCAGCUUGCUGCUUUGCUGACGAGUGGCGGACGGGUGAGUAAUGUCUGGGAAACUGCCUGAUGGAGGGGGAUAACUACUGGAAACGGUGGCUAAUACCGCAUAACGUCGCAAGACCAAAGAGGGGGACCUUCGGGCCUCUUGCCAUCAGAUGUGCCCAGAUGGGAUUAGCUUGUUGGUGAGGUAACGGCUCACCAAGGCGACGAUCCCUAGCUGGUCUGAGAGGAUGACCAGCCACACUGGAACUGAGACACGGUCCAGACUCCUACGGGAGGCAGCAGUGGGGAAUAUUGCACAAUGGGCGCAAGCCUGAUGCAGCCAUGCCGCGUGUAUGAAGAAGGCCUUCGGGUUGUAAAGUACUUUCAGCGGGGAGGAAGGUGUUGUGGUUAAUAACCGCAGCAAUUGACGUUACCCGCAGAAGAAGCACCGGCUAACUCCGUGCCAGCAGCCGCGGUAAUACGGAGGGUGCAAGCGUUAAUCGGAAUUACUGGGCGUAAAGCGCACGCAGGCGGUCUGUCAAGUCGGAUGUGAAAUCCCCGGGCUCAACCUGGGAACUGCAUUCGAAACUGGCAGGCUUGAGUCUUGUAGAGGGGGGUAGAAUUCCAGGUGUAGCGGUGAAAUGCGUAGAGAUCUGGAGGAAUACCGGUGGCGAAGGCGGCCCCCUGGACAAAGACUGACGCUCAGGUGCGAAAGCGUGGGGAGCAAACAGGAUUAGAUACCCUGGUAGUCCACGCCGUAAACGAUGUCUACUUGGAGGUUGUGCCCUUGAGGCGUGGCUUCCGGAGCUAACGCGUUAAGUAGACCGCCUGGGGAGUACGGCCGCAAGGUUAAAACUCAAAUGAAUUGACGGGGGCCCGCACAAGCGGUGGAGCAUGUGGUUUAAUUCGAUGCAACGCGAAGAACCUUACCUGGUCUUGACAUCCACAGAAGAAUCCAGAGAUGGAUUUGUGCCUUCGGGAACUGUGAGACAGGUGCUGCAUGGCUGUCGUCAGCUCGUGUUGUGAAAUGUUGGGUUAAGUCCCGCAACGAGCGCAACCCUUAUCCUUUGUUGCCAGCGGUUAGGCCGGGAACUCAAAGGAGACUGCCAGUGAUAAACUGGAGGAAGGUGGGGAUGACGUCAAGUCAUCAUGGCCCUUACGACCAGGGCUACACACGUGCUACAAUGGCGCAUACAAAGAGAAGCGACCUCGCGAGAGCAAGCGGACCUCAUAAAGUGCGUCGUAGUCCGGAUUGGAGUCUGCAACUCGACUCCAUGAAGUCGGAAUCGCUAGUAAUCGUGGAUCAGAAUGCCACGGUGAAUACGUUCCCGGGCCUUGUACACACCGCCCGUCACACCAUGGGAGUGGGUUGCAAAAGAAGUAGGUAGCUUAACCUUCGGGAGGGCGCUUACCACUUUGUGAUUCAUGACUGGGGUGAAGUCGUAACAAGGUAACCGUAGGGGAACCUGCGGUUGGAUCACCUCCUUACCUUAAAGAA